RNAcentral lists this ribosomal RNA (253 nucleotides) under Anaerostipes hadrus ATCC 29173 = JCM 17467. RNAcentral's name for it is "Anaerostipes hadrus DSM 3319 partial 16S ribosomal RNA". It matches the Rfam family "Bacterial small subunit ribosomal RNA", at positions 524 to 776 of the family's 1533-position model. Lineage: Bacteria; Bacillati; Bacillota; Clostridia; Lachnospirales; Lachnospiraceae. The record is from RNAcentral.
UACGUAGGGGGCAAGCGUUAUCCGGAAUUACUGGGUGUAAAGGGUGCGUAGGUGGUAUGGCAAGUCAGAAGUGAAAACCCAGGGCUUAACUCUGGGACUGCUUUUGAAACUGUCAGACUAGAGUGCAGGAGAGGUAAGCGGAAUUCCUAGUGUAGCGGUGAAAUGCGUAGAUAUUAGGAGGAAUAUCAGUGGCGAAGGCGGCUUACUGGACUGAAACUGACACUGAGGCACGAAAGCGUGGGGAGCAAACAGG